GGAAUUGCUAGUAAUGGCAGGUCAGCAUACUGCCGUGAAUACGUUCCCGGGCCUUGUACACACCGCCCGUCACACCAUGAGAGUUAGGAAUACCCGAAGCCUGUGAGCCAACUUUUCAAGAGGCAGCAGUCGAAGGUAGAACUAAUGAUUGGGGUGAAGUCGUAACAAGGUACC
Molecule: ribosomal RNA, 174 nt
Filed under: uncultured bacterium
Lineage: Bacteria
Description: partial 16S ribosomal RNA
Rfam family: Bacterial small subunit ribosomal RNA
Source: RNAcentral